GGCGGUUCUCUGGUGACACACCCCAGGAUUGGGCUCCCUCUUCUCCGAUUCCAGGUGCGUCACCUGAGAACCACA
This is a non-coding RNA of Myotis davidii, 75 nucleotides long. The record is from Rfam. NCBI's taxonomy places the organism in Eukaryota, Metazoa, Chordata, Mammalia, Chiroptera, Vespertilionidae.